Molecule: ribosomal RNA, 497 nt
Filed under: uncultured bacterium
Lineage: Bacteria
Description: partial 16S ribosomal RNA
Rfam family: Bacterial small subunit ribosomal RNA
Source: RNAcentral
GAUGAACGCUGGCGGCGUGCCUAAUACAUGCAAGUCGAGCGAACGGACGAGAAGCUUGCUUCUCUGAUGUUAGCGGCGGACGGGUGAGUAACACGUGGAUAACCUACCUAUAAGACUGGGAUAACUUCGGGAAACCGGAGCUAAUACCGGAUAAUAUUUUGAACCGCAUGGUUCAAAAGUGAAAGGCGGUCUUGCUGUCACUUAUAGAUGGAUCCGCGCUGCAUUAGCUAGUUGGUAAGGUAACGGCUUACCAAGGCAACGAUGCAUAGCCGACCUGAGAGGGUGAUCGGCCACACUGGAACUGAGACACGGUCCAGACUCCUACGGGAGGCAGCAGUAGGGAAUCUUCCGCAAUGGGCGAAAGCCUGACGGAGCAACGCCGCGUGAGUGAUGAAGGUCUUCGGAUCGUAAAACUCUGUUAUUAGGGAUGAACAUAUGUGUAAGUAACUGUGCACAUCUUGACGGUACCUAAUCAGAAAGCCACGGCUAACUACGUG